Molecule: ribosomal RNA, 253 nt
Filed under: Fusicatenibacter saccharivorans
Lineage: Bacteria; Bacillati; Bacillota; Clostridia; Lachnospirales; Lachnospiraceae
Description: partial 16S ribosomal RNA
Rfam family: Bacterial small subunit ribosomal RNA
Source: RNAcentral
UACGUAGGGGGCAAGCGUUAUCCGGAUUUACUGGGUGUAAAGGGAGCGUAGACGGCAAGGCAAGUCUGAUGUGAAAACCCAGGGCUUAACCCUGGGACUGCAUUGGAAACUGUCUGGCUCGAGUGCCGGAGAGGUAAGCGGAAUUCCUAGUGUAGCGGUGAAAUGCGUAGAUAUUAGGAAGAACACCAGUGGCGAAGGCGACUUACUGGACGGUAACUGACGUUGAGGCUCGAAAGCGUGGGGAGCAAACAGG